RNAcentral lists this long non-coding RNA (4102 nucleotides) under Triticum aestivum (bread wheat). Lineage: Eukaryota; Viridiplantae; Streptophyta; Magnoliopsida; Poales; Poaceae. The record is from RNAcentral.
AGUACCACUAUUUGUCUACUAUAUGCUUCAUAAAAGUGUUUUAUUUGUUUAUAAAAUGUACAUGAUUGCAGUCCUUUGAUAACCUGAUACAACAUGUAAGUACCAUCGACCACUGACAUGAAAAGGAAAGUAAAAUACUGCUGUUACUUUGAAAAUGACCUCAGGCUCAACUCACACGUCAUUAGUUGAGCUCAUUGAGACUGAAUUUCCUAACUGACCAAUUACAUUAUCUCCACACUUCUGCUUCUAUUCUUUCAACAUGGACUGUUUACAUGUGGUUGAGGCUUUUCAAAUAAGCUAGCAUGUGAAAAGUAGCAGCACCAGUACAGUAGAAAAGGCCAUCUAGUUACUGAACUGGCCGUGCAUGUACAAAGCACAUAAACACUGAAUGUUCAACACCACAGAAGCCCCAAACAUUUUCUCUUCUUCUACCUCCAAUGCGCCCUGAUCGAUCGCUUUGUCAAAAUAGAUACUACACGCAAGAACUACUGCCACAACCCAAUCCAUCCAUGAGACCCACUAAACACCAUGUGUGGUUUGAAAAAAAAUCCAUUUAUCAGUAGAUUUAGUUUUGAGCAAGCAAGGUUACUAUUUCUAACCCCUCUGUAUAAGAAAAUUGAACGGAGGCUUAUAUCAGGGUAACCUAAUUUUAAAAAAAGGUGUUGUAUGUGCUAGAUUUCUGAUGAUUUAGGUCUUGGAAGACCUGAACAGGCAAGCAUAGUAUUGCAAGUAAGAAAACGUGAAACAUUGCUAAUAACGUGCCUCAUCUACUAGUAAGGGCUUUAUUUUAUACCAAAGUUUUAAGCAGCUACAAUUUACAAUUCAAACCUAUGACUGCACUCAAAGCUGAAGUGGCAUUUUUCAUCUGGUUCAGCAUCCCAAUCGAAAGCACACAAUAAUUUCCUGCAAUGGUGAGGCAGCUGAAUCAAUAACACGCAGACCACAUCGAGAGUUGAAACUCCACACUACAGGAAAACCAGAGCGAUACAGAUGGCUGAAGACAAUAUUUUAUCCGAACAAUAUUCAUUGCAUCCACGCUUACCUCCCUCUUCCCCUGUAGCUCCAGCCCAUAGCAUUCCACAGUUUAAAACAGAGCAGAUAAAGGGUGAGACAAUACCUCAACAACAAUUGCUCAACGAGUUAAGUGUCAUUUAGUUAUUCUUAUAUAAAAUUACACUCCAAAGUAUCUAGGCUUCAUUGCUCUUAACUGAGUACUCGUGUUCACUGACAUCUUCUAUUGCUAAAUUGCUGAUGCGUCAUCACUCGUCGGUUUCACAGUUCAGAGGAAGAAAUGCAAUUGAUUAUUUUUAAGUGGUUGGCUGACAUAUUGACCUAGCAUAGAUCAAGCAAUUCCAUGACAAUCUUAGUAUCAAGACUAACUUGUGCAUUGAUGUCAGUAGCACUCUGUUUUAGAAGGGAAAUGCUUUCGUCUAGUGAAGCUUGUUGUCCAGCCUGAUACAUAGCAGAGCCAUAGUUUUAGUUAGCCUCCAGCACAACAUAGGAGAAACAAAUCAAGUCAUUCAAUCAAAAGGACCUUGAAGCCCUCCUCUUUGGGGCUUCGGGAUGCUGAGCACUCGCGGGAGACAUGGAUCGUGCCAUCACAAUGCCCUUGGCACAAAAGAUUUUAGCACCUGGGACAUAUAAAGAAAAAUCAGAACAAAGGUGAAUCUAUUCUGAUAGACUUCAAGAGUGAAGGGGGGAGAAGGAUUGAGAGAAACUUGCCUUGCCAUCAGCCAUCCCUAGAUGGGAAUGCCACUUCAAGCUCCUCCCAUGCACACCAUCUUUACUUUGUAUUAGAAGUUUAGAACAAAUCACACAGUUCAAUCCUUUUGUCAAUGAAAACUGAGGAAGAACUCAAUAACUAUCCUACUCUGCACUGAUCAUUGCAUGGUAUUAAUAUUUCUAUUUCACAGAAUUAAAUUUCAGCAACCAUGCAAGCUCUGAACAUUGUUCUUGAUUAAAAGGGCAAAAGGAUAAACAAAUGAAUAAGUCUCACCAUCAGUACUCAGUUUGCACCCAAUUUUUUAUCCGAACAAUAUUCUUUGCAUCCAACUCCGCCUAUGUCUUCUAGGCAUAGCCGGUCCCAAGCCCGGGUAAAGGAGGAGGGUUGUGAUAGGCUUGGCGAGCCAACGUAAAAACUAGCCAGUCCCAUAGGUAUGGAACCGAUUUGAGCGAGAGUAGUACUAGGAUGGGUGGCCUCCUGGGAAGUCCUCGUGAAAGGGUUUCAUAUCUAAGGGUUGUGAUAGGCUUGGCGAGCCAACGUAAAAACUAGCCAGUCUUUUGGGUAUGAAACCCAUUUGGGCGAGAGUAGUACUAGGAUGGGUGACCUCCUGGGAAGUCCUCGUGAAAGGGUUUCAUAUCUAGCCUACCCCAACUUGUUUGGGAUCAAAGGCUUCGUAAGUAAGUAAUAUUCUUUGCAUGCACGCUUACCUCCCUCCUCCCCUGUAGCUCCAACCCAUAGCAUUACACAGUUUAAAAGAGAGCAGAUAAAGGGUGAGACAAUACCUCAACAACAAUUGCUUAAUUACUUGAGUGUCAUUUAUUUAUUCUUAUAUAAAAUUACACUCUAAAGUAUCUAGCGUUUCAUUGCUUUUGACUGGGCACUCGUGUUCACUGACAUCUUCUAUUGCUAAAUUGCUGAUGCGUCAUCACUCAUCAGGUUUCACAUUUCAGAGGAAGAAAUGCAAUUGAUUAUUUUUAAGUGGUUGGCUAACAUGUUGACCUAGCAUAGAUCAAGCAAUUCCAUGACCAUCUUAGUAUCAAGACUAACUUGUGCAUUCAUGUCAGCAACACUCUGUUUUAGAAGGGAAAUGCUUUCAUCCAGUGAAGCUUGCUGUCCAACCUGAUACAUAGCAGAGCCAUAGUUUUAGUUAAUCCUCUAGCACAACAUAGGAGAAACAAAUCAAGUCAUUCAAUCAAAAGUACCUUGGAGCCCUCCUCUUUGGGGCUAUGGGAUGUCUAGCACUUGCAUGAGAUAUGCAUCGCGCCAUCACAAUGCCCUUGGCACAUAAGAUUUUAGCACCUGGGAUAGAAACACAUGGUGCCCGCACGCCUCGGUUUGUACAUGAAAACAUAUGAAACAUUAAAAAGCAGAGAAGCAAGAUCUGUAGUGUUCCCAUCAACCAUUGAAAGAUUCAAUUAGGAAUGAAUUAGUUACUUUUACACACAGUAAAGAAUGAAAGCUUAAAAGCCAUCAAAACAUAUUCAGUCAAAUCAGCAGCAAUCUGAAAUUAUAACUACCAUGAUAUUUUUAGAAACCAAUCUUGCAAACAAAGUAGGAUAAUUACCACAAUCUUCUUGGAAUUCAUGGUCCCACCUAGCUAGUCUCAACAAACGCCAGAAGUUGGUGAUCCCAUAAAUGUAUUAAGUGAUUGUCUUAAAGUUUGGACCAGACUCACACAAUUAUCCCUGCAAAAAUUGGACAGACCAAAAUUACUAAUACUUUGUACUUGCACAAAACAGAAAGGUAUAUAGUCAGAAAGUAGUCAAGUAAAAAACCCUCUCCAUCCCAACCACUUCAUUGAAAUAUUAAAAUGAGACAGAUUCCCUAGCCAAAUUUAUAACAGUAAUACAUAGUUCAAAGAUUGAAUGAUAUCCCUAAUAGUAAACUGAACUAUAGAAGGUGCUACAGCUUGCCAUCUUUGCUGUAACUACACGAUGAUAUUCCUAAGAAACUAUAAUCUGCGUUGGUACUUUCUCAGGUUUAGGAUAUCCAUUCCUUACAUGGCAAUGCAACCCAACAUGAUAUCCUUUAUGCUUAUGGUUAAUACGAAAGAUCUAGUAAAAUAAAGUAUCAACAGAAAUAGGGUCAGUACUAAAUUGUUAAUCUACUUAUCUGCAAUCCAUCUUCAGAGAUCACUCUACAUGAUGGUCAUAACCUCUAUAUAUUAAUUCCUCUAUACUUACAUUUUGUAAGAUGAUCUGUGAAAGUAUUAUAUGUACUCGUUAGAAAAAUACUCAUGAAAGUACACUGUUCCAAAAAUGGAACAAUAAAUUUGACACAAACUUGAUGACAGUCUGAAGCUAAACUCCGACUGUGAGGCCAUAUAUGCAUUUUGUUAUGGAAUGGUCUGAAUCAUAAAUUCGCUGCCAGGAAAGAAAC